UGGGGAAUAUUGCGCAAUGGGCGCAAGCCUGAUGCAGCCAUGCCGCGUGUGUGAAGAAGGCCUUCGGGUUGUAAAGCACUUUCAGCGGGGAGGAAGGCGUUAAGGUUAAUAACCUUGGCGAUUGACGUUACCCGCAGAAGAAGCACCGGCUAACUCCGUGCCAGCAGCCGCGGUAAUACGGAGGGUGCAAGCGUUAAUCGGAAUUACUGGGCGUAAAGCGCACGCAGGCGGUCUGUCAAGUCGGAUGUGAAAUCCCCGGGCUCAACCUGGGAACUGCAUUCGAAACUGGCAGGCUAGAGUCUUGUAGAGGGGGGUAGAAUUCCAUGUGUAGCGGUGAAAUGCGUAGAGAUGUGGAGGAAUACCGGUGGCGAAGGCGGCCCCCUGGACAAAGACUGACGCUCAGGUGCGAAAGCGUGGGGAGCAAACAGG
This 429-nucleotide ribosomal RNA is filed under the name Chloroflexota bacterium. Its description in RNAcentral is "Chloroflexi bacterium partial 16S ribosomal RNA". It matches the Rfam family "Bacterial small subunit ribosomal RNA", at positions 355 to 776 of the family's 1533-position model. Lineage: Bacteria; Bacillati; Chloroflexota. The record is from RNAcentral.